AUUGAACGCUAGCGGGAUGCUUUACACAUGCAAGUCGAACGGCAGCGCGGACUUCGGUCUGGCGGCGAGUGGCGAACGGGUGAGUAAUGUAUCGGAACGUGCCCAGUAGCGGGGGAUAACUACGCGAAAGCGUAGCUAAUACCGCAUACGCCCUACGGGGGAAAGCAGGGGAUCGUAAGACCUUGCACUAUUGGAGCGGCCGAUAUCGGAUUAGCUAGUUGGUGAGGUAACGGCUCACCAAGGCGACGAUCCGUAGCUGGUUUGAGAGGACGACCAGCCACACUGGGACUGAGACACGGCCCAGACUCCUACGGGAGGCAGCAGUGGGGAAUUUUGGACAAAGGGGGCAACCCUGAUCCAGCCAUCCCGCGUGUGCGAUGAAGGCCUUCGGGUUGUAAAGCACUUUUGGCAGGAAAGAAACGUAGCGGGCUAAUACCCCGUGGAACUGACGGUACCUGCAGAAUAAGCACCGGCUAACUACGUG
Molecule: ribosomal RNA, 484 nt
Filed under: uncultured bacterium
Lineage: Bacteria
Description: partial 16S ribosomal RNA
Rfam family: Bacterial small subunit ribosomal RNA
Source: RNAcentral